UAAAGCAAACAUGUCCGCAAUAGGCAUUAGUAAGAGGCGAUUGGAGGAUUGGUGGAAGAAAAGUAGGGAAACGACAAAAGACGGAGACGUACAAAAGCACAGUCCGCAAUAGACAUCAGUAAGAGGCGAUUGGAGGAUUGGUGGAAGAAAAGUAGGGAAACGACAAAAGACGGAGACGUACAAAAGCACAGUUCGCAAUAGGGUGUCAGAAAAUUUGGACGUGGUAGUUCAUAGUGGUUUUUUUUUUUUUUUUUU
Long non-coding RNA from Dermacentor andersoni, 255 nucleotides. RefSeq lists it as uncharacterized. The record is from RefSeq and is a predicted model, not a curated record. NCBI's taxonomy places the organism in Eukaryota, Metazoa, Arthropoda, Arachnida, Ixodida, Ixodidae.